Molecule: non-coding RNA, 101 nt
Filed under: unclassified sequences
Description: Termite-flg RNA
Rfam family: Termite-flg RNA
Source: RNAcentral
AAUCGUUUCGUUCUGUUUGCGGCAGACAGGAACGGCGGCGCGAAACCGCUCCUGAAUACCGCUACCGCGGAACGGCUCCGGCAAGGAUAGCCGGGGUAAAG